RNAcentral lists this ribosomal RNA (754 nucleotides) under uncultured archaeon. RNAcentral's name for it is "bacterial SSU rRNA". It matches the Rfam family "Archaeal small subunit ribosomal RNA", at positions 102 to 859 of the family's 1478-position model. The record is from RNAcentral.
AGUCAACAUGCCCAGAAAACGUGGAUAACCUCGGGAAACUGAGGAUAAACCGCGAUAGGUCACUACUUCUGGAAUGGGUAAUGACCCAAACCUAUAUGGCCCCUGGAUUGGACUGCGGCCGAUCAGGCUGUUGGUGAGGUAAUGGCCCACCAAACCUGUAACCGGUACGGGCUCUGAGAGGAGGAGCCCGGAGAUGGGCACUGAGACAAGGGCCCAGGCCCUAUGGGGCGCAGCAGGCGCGAAACCUCUGCAAUAGGCGAAAGCUUGACAGGGUUCCUCUGAGUGAUUUCCGUUAAGGAGAUCUUUUGGCACCUCUAAAAAUGGUGCAGAAUAAGGGGUGGGCAAGCCUGGUGUCAGCCGCCGCGGUAAUACCAGCACCCCGAGUGGUCGGGACGAUUAUUGGGCCUAAAGCAUCCGUAGCCGGUUCUACAAGUCUUCCGUUAAAUCCACCUGCUUAACAGAUGGGCUGCGGAGGAUACUAUGGAGCUAGGAGGCGGGAGAGGCAAGCGGUACUUAGUGGGUAGGGGUAAAAUCCGUUGAUCCAUUGAAGACCACCAGUGGCGAAGGCGGCUUGCCAGAACGCACUCGACGGUGAGGGAUGAAAGCUGGGGGAGCAAACCGGAUUAGAUACCCGGGUAGUCCCAGCUGUAAACGAUGCAGACUCGGUGAUGAAUAGGCUUCGUGCCUAUUCAGUGCCGCAGGGAAGCCGUUAAGUCUGCCGCCUGGGGAGUACGGUCGCAAGACUGAAACUUAA